This 468-nucleotide ribosomal RNA is filed under the name uncultured bacterium. RNAcentral's name for it is "partial 16S ribosomal RNA". It matches the Rfam family "Bacterial small subunit ribosomal RNA", at positions 28 to 507 of the family's 1533-position model. The record is from RNAcentral.
GACGAACGCUGGCGGCGUGCUUAACACAUGCAAGUCGAACGGAAAGGCCCUGCUUUUGUGUGGUGCUCGAGUGGCGAACGGGUGUGUAACACGUGAGUAACCUGCCCUUGACUUUGGGAUAACUUCUGGAAACUGGGGCUCAUACCGGAUAGGAGCUCCUGCUGCAUGGUGGGGGUUGGAGAGUUUCGGUCGUGGGGGAUGGACUAGCGGCUUAUCAGCUUGUUUGUGAGGUAGUGACUUACCAAGCCUUUGACGGGUAGCCGGCCUGAGAGGGUGACCGGCCACAUGGGGACUGAGAUACGGCCCAGACGCGUACGGGAGGCAGAAGUGGGGAAUAUUGCACAAUGGGCGGAAGCCUGAGGCAGCAACGCCGCGUGCGGGAUGACGGCCUUCGGGUUGUAAACCGCUGUCGCCUGUGACGAAGCGUGAGUGACGGUAAUGGGUAAAGAAGCACCGGCUAACUACGUG